This 95-nucleotide non-coding RNA is filed under the name uncultured Mailhella sp. RNAcentral's name for it is "Pyrrolysine insertion sequence mttB". It matches the Rfam family "Pyrrolysine insertion sequence mttB". Lineage: Bacteria; Pseudomonadati; Thermodesulfobacteriota; Desulfovibrionia; Desulfovibrionales; Desulfovibrionaceae. The record is from RNAcentral.
GGGCGAUUCAAAAGUGGGCGAUGCCCAGAGCGGACAUGAAAAGACACUGACCGGGAUGUUACCGAUGUUAGCAGGUGCUAAUAUCAUUUAUGGUC